GACGAACGCUGGCGGCGUGCUUAACACAUGCAAGUCGAACGGAAAGGCCCUGCUUUUGUGGGGUGCUCGAGUGGCGAACGGGUGAGUAACACGUGAGUAACCUGCCCUUGACUUUGGGAUAACUUCAGGAAACUGGGGCUAAUACCGGAUAGGAGCUCCUGCUGCAUGGUGGGGGUUGGAAAGUUUCGGCGGUUGGGGAUGGACUCGCGGCUUAUCAGCUUGUUGGUGGGGUAGUGGCUUACCAAGGCUUUGACGGGUAGCCGGCCUGAGAGGGUGACCGGCCACAUUGGGACUGAGAUACGGCCCAGACUCCUACGGGAGGCAGCAGUGGGGAAUAUUGCACAAUGGGCGGAAGCCUGAUGCAGCAACGCCGCGUGCGGGAUGACAGCCUUCGGGUUGUAAACCGCUUUCGCCUGUGACGAAGCGUGAGUGACGGUAAUGGGUAAAGAAGCACCGACUAACUACGUG
RNAcentral lists this ribosomal RNA (468 nucleotides) under uncultured bacterium. RNAcentral describes it as "partial 16S ribosomal RNA". It matches the Rfam family "Bacterial small subunit ribosomal RNA", at positions 28 to 507 of the family's 1533-position model. The record is from RNAcentral.